This 816-nucleotide ribosomal RNA is filed under the name uncultured bacterium. RNAcentral describes it as "bacterial SSU rRNA". The stretch from base 1 to 535 matches the Rfam family "Bacterial small subunit ribosomal RNA". The record is from RNAcentral.
GGGUGACCUACCUCGAGGUGGGGGAUAACCCGGGGAAACCCGGGCUAAUACCGCAUAACAUCGUGAGAUCAAAGCGGCCCGCAAGGGUCGCGCCGUGAGAGGGGCCCGCGUCUGAUUAGCUAGUUGGUGAGGUAACGGCUCACCAAGGCGACGAUCAGUAGCCGGCCUGAGAGGGCGAUCGGCCACACUGGAACUGAGACACGGUCCAGACUCCUACGGGAGGCAGCAGUGGGGAAUUUUGCGCAAUGGGGGAAACCCUGACGCAGCAACGCCGCGUGGAGGAUGAAGGUCCUUGGAUUGUAAACUCCUGUCAGCAGGGAAGAACUCCUUACGGUGAAUAACCGUAAGGAUUGACGGUACCUGCAGAGGAAGCCCCGGCUAACUCUGUGCCAGCAGCCGCGGUAAUACAGAGGGGGCAAGCGUUAUUCGGAAUUAUUGGGUGCAAAGGGUAAGUAGUUGGCUUCGCAAACAGGGGUGAAAUCCCCAAGGACCUUCAUCCUCCACGCGGCGUUGCUGCGUCAGGGUUUCCCCCAUUGCGCAAAAUUCCCCACUGCUGCCUCCCGUAGGAGUCUGGACCGUGUCUCAGUUCCAGUGUGGCCGAUCGCCCUCUCAGGCCGGCUACUGAUCGUCGCCUUGGUGAGCCGUUACCUCACCAACUAGCUAAUCAGACGCGGGCCCCUCUCACGGCGCGACCCUUGCGGGCCGCUUUGAUCUCACGAUGUUAUGCGGUAUUAGCCCGGGUUUCCCCGGGUUAUCCCCCACCUCGAGGUAGGUCACCCACGUGUUACUCACCCGUCUGCCGCUCGACUCAGGUAU